GCCACUGUGGUAUAGUGGUUUGAGCAUUGGACUAUGACGCCAGAGACCAGGGUCCAUAUCCCUGCUGAACCA
Molecule: non-coding RNA, 72 nt
Organism: Phrynosoma platyrhinos (Desert horned lizard)
Lineage: Eukaryota; Metazoa; Chordata; Lepidosauria; Squamata; Phrynosomatidae
Source: the annotation of a GenBank genome assembly